Molecule: ribosomal RNA, 468 nt
Filed under: Facetotecta sp.
Lineage: Eukaryota; Metazoa; Arthropoda; Thecostraca
Description: partial large subunit ribosomal RNA
Rfam family: Bacterial large subunit ribosomal RNA (bases 324-468)
Source: RNAcentral
UUGCAAGGGUAGCAUAAUAAUUAGUUCAUUAAUUGUGAGAUUGUAUGAAUGAAUGCAUGAAAAUAACGUUGUCUCUUUUUUAUUAAGUUAAAUUUUAUUUCUUUGUGAGAAAGCUAAGAUUUGUAAAUAGGACGAGAAGACCCUAUAAAUCUUUAAAUGUUGUAAUAAAAAGAGAUGUUAUUGUUUGAUUAUUUUGACGUGUUGACUGGGGCGGUAAGAAGAAUUUUUAAAUGACUCUUUUGUUAUUAUGGUUAUUAUUUUAAUUGAGUAUAUAUUUUUGAUCCUUUAAGUUUUUAGAGAUUAGUAGAUAAAGUUACUUUAGGGAUAACAGCAUAAUUUUUUUUGAGAGUUCUUAUUGAUGGAAGAGUUUGUGACCUCGAUGUUGGAUUAAAUAAAUUGAAGGUGUAGUAAUUUUUGUGUUUUUAGUCUGUUCGACUUUAAUAGUUUACACGAUUUGAUUCAGACCGG